This 413-nucleotide ribosomal RNA is filed under the name uncultured Gemmata sp. RNAcentral describes it as "bacterial SSU rRNA". It matches the Rfam family "Bacterial small subunit ribosomal RNA", at positions 355 to 774 of the family's 1533-position model. Lineage: Bacteria; Pseudomonadati; Planctomycetota; Planctomycetia; Gemmatales; Gemmataceae. The record is from RNAcentral.
UCGAGGAUCUUCGGCAAUGGGCGAAAGCCUGACCGAGCGAUGCCGCGUGCGCGAUGAAGGCCUUCGGGUUGUAAAGCGCUUUAGUGGGGGAGAAAAGCCCGAAAGGGUUUGAUCUAUCCCAAAAAUAAGCUCGGGCUAAGUUCGUGCCAGCAGCCGCGGUAAGACGAACCGAGCGAACGUUGUUCGGAAUCACUGGGCUUAAAGGGCGCGUAGGCGGGCUGUCAAGUCUGGGGUGAAAUCCCACGGCUCAACCGUGGAACUGCCUUAGAUACUGACGGCCUCGAGGGAGAUAGGGGCGAGCGGAACUGUGAGUGGAGCGGUGAAAUGCGUUGAUAUUCACAGGAACUCCGGUGGCGAAGGCGGCUCGCUGGAUCUUUUCUGACGCUGAGGCGCGAAAGCUAGGGGAGCAAACG